UUGAGAACCGCUGGACUAGUAGUUCCAAAUUACUAUAUAAAUUGACAAAAACAUUGAUAUUGUGACACAGCAGUAAGUGGUCAUUAGACUUUAAAAAGCCAUUCCAUUGGCAGCUCUUGAUCCCCCGUGAAAUGGAAAGCACGAGGGACUGAUGAUCACUAGUUUGCCUUAAAAAGCAAGAGUUGCGCCUGAUAGUAAUUUCAAAAUCGAAACAUUCAGUGGUUGUAAAGGGUCCUUAGAGAAUCAAAAUCUGCUUUACUAUUAAAUGUUGGCACUUGCUUAAAGCAAAAGAAACGAGUACAAACUGCUUUGAAUUACUGAUGUAUCCAUAAUCAAGAGAAGGUGUCUGUUUUAAGUGUAAAAUACAAUAUUGACAAACUGGUUGUCUUUUGAAAUGUGUUGCUUUACUGCUCGCCAUGUCAAACUCCUUUUCGUUACACGGGCUUGUGUGAUCAAACACAACCUACAAUGUGGUGCCCUUGCUGCCCUUUCAAUCCCAAGAUGUUGACAGUGUUUUACUCACCAUGUGUAAUAUUUUUAAAGGAUGAACCAACAUCCAUCCAUCCAUUAUCCAACCCUCUAUAUCCUAACUACAGGGUCACGGGGGUCUGCCGGAGCCAAUCCCAGCCAACACAGGGCACAAGGCAGGAAACAAACCCCCACCACAAGACACACACACACAUCAAGCACAAUUUAGGAUCGGCAAUCCACCUAACCUGCAUGUCUUUGGACUGUGGGAGGAAACCCAUGCAGACACGGGGAGAACAUGCAAACUCCAUGCAGGGAGGACCCGGGAAGCGAACCCAAGUCUCCUAACUGCGAGGCAGCAGUGCUACCACUGCACCACCGCGCCGCCCUAUGAACCAACAUUCAAUUUGAAUUACCAUCAGGACAUUAGAAAAGACAUUUCUAAAAAAAAAAAAAAAAAAAACUCCUACACGAGCCAAUUUGACUGGAGCCCCUAAUAAAUAAUGUGUUAUAAAGAAUAAAGAGGACUUGCAUGGCUCCACUGGAAUUACACAAACGAUUGUAAUCCCAAUUUCCUUUAGCACUGCGGAGAUCCUUUGUGAGCAGCAUGGUGUUGCGAACCCAAAAUAAAUUACUGCUCUUUCAUUAAACUGAAGAAUCAAAAGAUCUUCCCAAUGCCAUUUAAAUAUUCCUCAUCAUUUACCAAGGGGAAAAAAAUCUCAAGUGAUUUUUAAAAACUUUGUUUCUUUGGAGGAAACUUCAAUCAGAAAAGCUCAUUGUGCCCAUAACCUCACUCCUUUUGUGAUCAAGUGUUUUACUCCCAGUGUAAAUAACACGUUUCCAAGCAAGAAUGGAGCACAACGCCAAUUGUUUAUGUUAAUAAGUAAUGAAUUCAAAAUUAUAUUUGAGGUAAAGCUUCACGGCUGCAAGAAUAUACCGUGAUAUAUUACUGAAAGCAAUAAUUAUCAGGGCCAUAGUGUUAUAGGCCGGGGAUUACCGGCAAAGCAAUAAAACGUUUGAGAUCACCAUGAACCGUUAGUCAUAUUAAAUUCUUGUGACCAGUUUAGGACUCCAUUGACAAUAAACAUUGUUGGAUUAGAAUCUCUCUCUUCAGAUUGAGCAAAAAAGUUUUUUCUUUUUUAAUCACAGGAAACCAUAAAAUUAGUAAUAGUCCGGCCAGUUUAUAAUUCUUAAUAAGGAAAUAUGUUUUUGCCAAUGCAGGUCAUGGCAUGCCAGAAUUAUGACAGGCUUCACCACCAACUGCACAUCUUAGAGCUCACAGCACCCUACAAUGAUGCCACAUCCUCCCUUUUCUUUGGUCAAAAUGCAAUACUUUUUGCUAGAAAAAAAUAUCUUAAAAUGCAUUAAAGCAGAAAGCGCCUGACAUUCUAUUUGUUUGUUUGUUUCUUUAAAGCUUUAGUCUUGACCCUCGUGGCCCAGAAUUCCAGGUGCCACUUCCUUUUGCGCCCUACUGUGAAGUUACGCCCCAAAACUGCUGAAAAGGCAGAUGUGUGUGCUUCCCUCCCACCCUAUACAGUAGUUCUCUUUCAUUUCUUUGCUCAUUUAUAAACAAUGGCUUUACAAAGAUGUCUUUUGGUAAUGAAUUCAAUUCUUGUUCUUUGUAUGACUUGAAAAAAUAAAUAUCAAAGUAAGUUAUCAUU
Erpetoichthys calabaricus (reedfish) is the source of this 2129-nucleotide long non-coding RNA. RefSeq lists it as uncharacterized. The transcript is spliced from 2 exons. The record is from RefSeq and is a predicted model, not a curated record. Lineage: Eukaryota; Metazoa; Chordata; Cladistia; Polypteriformes; Polypteridae.